GGACCAAAAUAAAAAUCGAAAGACAAUUUGUUCAUGGAUCCCUAUUCCUAGUUAUGUAAAAUUUUUCUAGCAUUGGUGCUAGAUUCUUGUUUCUCGAAAGCUUCACAUGUGCAAUAUCCACCAAGACAUGUUCCAGUGCCUCUUGCAAUGGGGACGUUGCAGUAAACUACACAGUCCUGAUUGGUUUUACAUGCUGGGCCAAAAGCAUCCACACUUUGCAAACCUAUUAGACAUAGCAAAAAAUUGAGUCAAUUAGUAAUGCCUAAAGGUGCGCUCACACAAAAAAAAGUUCAUAAAUCGUGACAAAAUAAUAAAAGAAAGGGACAAUUCGAUGUACAAAAUAGAGAAGGCAUACCAAUUGAGAGAAGAAUCACAAACAUCAAAGAAAACAAAGUGUAUGAAGUCUUGCUCAUAGCCAUGUCUUUAGAGUGUAUUUAUAAGUGGUGACUAUGAUAAAACUAUACUAUGAUUU
This 472-nucleotide long non-coding RNA is filed under the name Capsicum annuum. RNAcentral describes it as "long non-coding RNA (CANN_LNC003585)". Lineage: Eukaryota; Viridiplantae; Streptophyta; Magnoliopsida; Solanales; Solanaceae. The record is from RNAcentral.